This 1011-nucleotide long non-coding RNA is filed under the name Ursus maritimus (polar bear). Its description in RNAcentral is "lncRNA (ENSUMAG00000011762.1)". The record is from RNAcentral. Lineage: Eukaryota; Metazoa; Chordata; Mammalia; Carnivora; Ursidae.
CAACGAUUGGCUUGUUUAUAUAAUUCUGUGGUCUGGCAGGGAACUGAAACGUGCUAUUCAGAGAUAAGUAAGAAUUGCACCUGGCCUGUCUGAUAGGAAGAGCUGGCUAGAGAAGCUUAUCCAUGAGAGCAGAGGGGAGUGGGGAGCUGGCCAUUAGACCAUUUGGGGCCCCCUUAAUUUCACCAGCGAUCAAGCAGCACAUGAUAUUGAAUCUUAAUUUCAAGCUUUACAUCACUGUUUCUUAACCUGGUUGCACCUUUAUUUCUUCAUCUUCAAAUAGGAAUAAUGGUGCUUAAUUCAUUCGUUAUUUAUGAGUUUUGAAUGAGGCAAUGUGAGGUGAGCAUUGAAUACAGGGACUGGCGCUUGCCAAGUGCGAGGCAUAGGUUGCGUGACUUACAGAGCGUCAUAUGGCUCGUAAGCAGUGAACUCAGAUUUAACCAUCCACCUUUUGUUUCUAGAUCCUGGGAACUUUCUGCAGCACUGAACUGAGAUCUUGUUCAUUGAGCAAAUACCAAUUAGUUUAUCUAUCCACCCAUCUAAACGUACAUGCAUCCAUCCACUUAUUUGCUCAUUCAUUCAAUAAACAGUUAUUGAGCACCUACAGUAUGCAUGGUCCUGGCACUAUGAAGAAGGCUUUUAGAAGCUCAUAGUCUGAUGGAGGAGACAGACAUGGGAUGGGUGCUUUGCAGUGUGAUGGAUGCUAUGCCACAAGCGGUCAAUGCCAAGGACAAACCAAGGAUUUCAGAAAGGAGAGCCAACUUUGCACUUUUCUCCAAAUCUGCUUGCUGCCCAAAGAUCUGGGAGGGGGCCUUCCAAGACUGAAUGGGAAGAUGGAAACCCAGCAGCAUCCAAUACUUCCCAAGCUGGCCUGACCACAACCCUGUGGGCCUUAGGCUCGUCUUUUGUGAAGUGACGGAAACUUCUUUUUCCUGCCUGAUGGUAGACCAUGAACCACUCUACCCGAUGAAAGAGUGCACAGUGCUACCUAAAGAAGAAAACAGUAUUUUCAAC